RNAcentral lists this ribosomal RNA (286 nucleotides) under Oxyrrhis marina. Its description in RNAcentral is "partial Bacterial large subunit ribosomal RNA". It matches the Rfam family "Bacterial large subunit ribosomal RNA", at positions 458 to 744 of the family's 2925-position model. The record is from RNAcentral. Lineage: Eukaryota; Dinophyceae; Oxyrrhinales; Oxyrrhinaceae.
CUCUAAGGCUAAAUACUCGUGAUCGACCGAUAGUGAACCAGUACCGUGAGGGAAAGGUGAAAAGAACCGUGAAUAACGGAGUGAAAUAGAUCCUGAAACCAUACGCUUACAAGCGGUCGGAGCCCAUAUGGGUGACGGCGUGCCUUUUGCAUAAUGAGCCUACGAGUUACUCCUCUCUAGCAAGGUUAAGGAUUUAAGGUCCGUAGCCGGAGCGAAAGCGAGUCUGAAUAGGGCGACAUAGUUAGAGGGAUGAGACCCGAAACCGAGUGAUCUAGCCAUGUGCAGG